GACGAAACGCUGGCGGCGCGCCUAACACAUGCAAGUCGAACGAGCGAGAGAGAGCUUGCUUUCUCGAGCGAGUGGCGAACGGGUGAGUAAACGCGUGAGGAACCUGCCUCAAAAGAGGGGGACAACAGUUGGAAACGACUGCUAAUACCGCAUAAAGCCCACAGCUCGGCAUCGAGCAGAGGGAAAAGGAGCAAUCCGCUUUGAGAUGGCCUCGCGUCCGAUUAGCUAGUUGGUGAGGUAACGGCCCACCAAGGCGACGAUCGGUAGCCGGACUGAGAGGUUGAACGGCCACAUUGGGACUGAGACACGGCCCAGACUCCUACGGGAGGCAGCAGUGGGGAAUAUUGCACAAAUGGGGGAAACCCUGAUGCAGCGACGCCGCGUGGAGGAAAGAAAGGUCUUCGGAUUGUAAAACUCCUGUUGUUGAGGAAGAUAAUGACGGUACUCAACAAGGAAGUGACGGCUAACUACGUGCCAGCAGCCGCAGUAAG
Molecule: ribosomal RNA, 491 nt
Filed under: uncultured bacterium
Lineage: Bacteria
Description: bacterial SSU rRNA
Rfam family: Bacterial small subunit ribosomal RNA
Source: RNAcentral